UUGGGAAAGCGAGCGGCGGAUGGGUGAGUAACACGUGGGGAACCUGCCCCUAAGUCUGGGAUACCAUUUGGAAACAGGUGCUAAUACCGGAUAAUAAAGCAGAUCGCAUGAUCAGCUUUUGAAAGGCGGCGUAAGCUGUCGCUAAGGGAUGGCCCCGCGGUGCAUUAGCUAGUUGGUAAGGUAACGGCUUACCAAGGCGACGAUGCAUAGCCGAGUUGAGAGACUGAUCGGCCACAUUGGGACUGAGACACGGCCCAAACUCCUACGGGAGGCAGCAGUAGGGAAUCUUCCACAAUGGACGCAAGUCUGAUGGAGCAACGCCGCGUGAGUGAAGAAGGUUUUCGGAUCGUAAAGCUCUGUUGUUGGUGAAGAAGGAUAGAGGUAGUAACUGGCCUUUAUUUGACGGUAAUCAACCAGAAAGUCACGGCUAACUACGUGCCAGCAGCCGCGGUAAUACGUAGGUGGCAAGCGUUGUCCGGAUUUAUUGGGCGUAAAGCGAGCGCAGGCGGAAAAAUAAGUCUAAUGUGAAAGCCCUCGGCUUAACCGAGGAACUGCAUCGGAAACUGUUUUUCUUGAGUGCAGAAGAGGAGAGUGGAACUCCAUGUGUAGCGGUGGAAUGCGUAGAUAUAUGGAAGAACACCAGUGGCGAAGGCGGCUCUCUGGUCUGCAACUGACGCUGAGGCUCGAAAGCAUGGGUAGCGAACAGGAUUAGAUACCCUGGUAGUCCAUGCCGUAAACGAUGAGUGCUAAGUGUUGGGAGGUUUCCGCCUCUCAGUGCUGCAGCUAACGCAUUAAGCACUCCGCCUGGGGAGUACGACCGCAAGGUUGAAACUC
This 834-nucleotide ribosomal RNA is filed under the name uncultured bacterium. RNAcentral describes it as "bacterial SSU rRNA". It matches the Rfam family "Bacterial small subunit ribosomal RNA", at positions 83 to 902 of the family's 1533-position model. The record is from RNAcentral.